AGGGACAUAAGGAUAAGGAACGGACAUAGAACCGUUUUCAAAUCGGAGGUCUCGGAAGCGACCUGAGAAGGAAUAUCUGAAAUCUGGUAUCUGAAGUCUAAUAUCUGUGUUAGUGGCGGACGGGUGAGUAACGCGUGAGCAACCUGCCUUUCAGAGGGGGAUAACGUUUGGAAACAGACGCUAAUACCGCAUAAGAUAGUAGUAUCGCAUGGUACGGCUAUCAAAGGAGCAAUCCGCUGAGAGAUGGGCUCGCGUCCGAUUAGAUAGUUGGUGGGGUAACGGCCUACCAAGUCAGCGAUCGGUAGCCGGACUGAGAGGUUGAACGGCCACAUUGGGACUGAGACACGGCCCAGACUCCUACGGGAGGCAGCAGUGGGGGAUAUUGCACAAUGGGCGAAGGCCUGAUGCAGCAACGCCGCGUGAGGGAAGACGGUUUUCGGAUUGUAAACCUCUGUCUUUGGUGAAGAAAGAAAUGACGGUAGCCAAGGAGGAAGCCACGGCUAACUACGUG
This 511-nucleotide ribosomal RNA is filed under the name uncultured bacterium. RNAcentral's name for it is "bacterial SSU rRNA". It matches the Rfam family "Bacterial small subunit ribosomal RNA", at positions 73 to 507 of the family's 1533-position model. The record is from RNAcentral.